Molecule: transfer RNA, 84 nt
Filed under: Candidatus Haliotispira prima
Lineage: Bacteria; Pseudomonadati; Spirochaetota; Spirochaetia; Spirochaetales; Spirochaetaceae
Description: Spirochaetaceae bacterium SP-2023 tRNA-Leu
Rfam family: tRNA
About the family: Transfer RNA (tRNA) molecules are approximately 80 nucleotides in length. Their secondary structure includes four short double-helical elements and three loops (D, anti-codon, and T loops).
Source: RNAcentral
GCCUGGGUGGUGGAAUUGGUAGACACGCUAGUUUCAGGGACUAGUGGGGGUAACUCCGUGAAGGUUCGAGUCCUUUUCCAGGCA